AAGGGGAAAGUAGACAUUGUGACUG
Molecule: non-coding RNA, 25 nt
Filed under: Cricetulus griseus (Chinese hamster)
Lineage: Eukaryota; Metazoa; Chordata; Mammalia; Rodentia; Cricetidae
Source: RNAcentral